CCUACGGGGAGCAGCAGUGGGGAAUAUUGGGCAAUGGGCGCAAGCCUGACCCAGCAACGCCGCGUGAAGGAAGAAGGCUUUCGGGUGGUAAACUUCUUUUCUGAGGGACGAAGAAAGUGACGGUCCCUCACGAAUAAGCCACGGCUAACUACGUGCCAGCAGCAGCGGUAAUACGUAGGUGGCAAGCGUUAUCCGGCUUAAUUGGGUGUGAAGGGCGUGUAGGCGGGAAAGCAAGGCAGAUGUGAAAACUCAGGGCUCAACCCUGAGCCUGCAUUUGAAACUGUUUUUCUUGAGUGCUGGGGAGGCAAUCGGAAUUCCGUGUGUAGCGGUGAAAUGCGUAGAUAUACGGGGGAACACCAGUGGCGAAGGCGGAUUGCUGGACAGUAACUGACGCUGAGGCGCGAAAGCGUGGGGAGCAAACAGGAUUAGAUACCCCGGGUAGUC
Molecule: ribosomal RNA, 444 nt
Filed under: uncultured bacterium
Lineage: Bacteria
Description: partial 16S ribosomal RNA
Rfam family: Bacterial small subunit ribosomal RNA
Source: RNAcentral